RNAcentral lists this ribosomal RNA (484 nucleotides) under uncultured bacterium. Its description in RNAcentral is "bacterial SSU rRNA". It matches the Rfam family "Bacterial small subunit ribosomal RNA", at positions 28 to 526 of the family's 1533-position model. The record is from RNAcentral.
AAUGAACGUUGGCGGCGUGGAUUAGGCAUGCAAGUCGAACGGGCCUGGUUUUCGGAUCAGGUCAGUGGCGCAAGGGUGAGUAAGGCGACGGUAACCAACCCCAUGGUUGGGUAUAGCCGCGGGAAACUGCGGGUAAUCCCCAGCGAUGUAAGAUGCCGGGAUCGGUGUUUUAUCAAAGCUUUGGCGCCGUGGGACGGGCCGUCGUGGUAUUAGGUAGUUGGCGGGGUAACGGCCCACCAAGCCGAUGAUGCCUACCGGGCGUGCGAGCGUGGCCCGGCACACUGGGACUGAGACACUGCCCAGACUCCUACGGGAGGCUGCAGUCGAGAAUCUUCGGCAAUGGGCGCAAGCCUGACCGAGCGACGCCGCGUGGAGGAUGAAGGCCUUCGGGUUGUAAACUCCUGUCGAGGGGGAGGAAGGGGCAACCUUGACCGAUCCCUGGAGGAAGCACGGGCUAAGUUCGUGCCAGCCGCCGCCGUAAAAC